RNAcentral lists this unclassified non-coding RNA (369 nucleotides) under Agaricus sp. RNAcentral describes it as "partial internal transcribed spacer region". The stretch from base 1 to 46 matches the Rfam family "Eukaryotic small subunit ribosomal RNA", at positions 1786 to 1831 of the family's 1831-position model. RNAcentral also lists the same sequence under 1 other name. Lineage: Eukaryota; Fungi; Basidiomycota; Agaricomycetes; Agaricales; Agaricaceae. The record is from RNAcentral.
AAGUCGUAACAAGGUUUCCGUAGGUGAACCUGCGGAAGGAUCAUUAUUGAAUUAUGUUUCUAGAUGGGUUGUAGCUGGCUCUUUUAGAGCAUGUGCACGCCUGUUUAGACUUCAUCUUCAUCCACCUGUGCACCUAUUGUAGUCUUUGGUUGGGUAUCGAGGAAGUGGUUAGCCUAUCAGCACUUGCUGGAUGUGAGGACUUGCACUGUGAAAGCUCUGCUGUCCUUUACUUGACCACGGAGUCGUUUUCUCACCAGAGUCUAUGUUCAUUCAUUAUACUCUGUCGAAUGUCAUUGAAUGUAUUUUACAUGGGCUUGUAUGCCUAUGAAAAUUAUAAUACAACUUUCAGCAACGGAUCUCUUGGCUCUC